UAGAGUUUGAUCCUGGCUCAGAGUGAACGCUAGCGGCGUGGAUUAGGCAUGCAAGUCGAACGCGAAAGGAUGAUGAAGGAUUCUUCGGAUGACUGAUUCGCUGAGUAGAGUGGCGCAAGGGUGAGUAAUACAUGGCUAACGUACCUCUAACUUUGGAAUAACAACUGGAAACGGUUGCUAAUGCCGGAUAGUCUCAAACUGUCUCAUGACGGUUUGGGUAAAGGUGGGGAUCCCUUCGGGGACCUUCUGGUUAGAGAGCGGGUCAUGCGCUAUCAGCUAGUUGGUGAGGUAACGGCUCACCAAGGCAACGAUGUCUAGGGGUUCUGAGAGGAUGAUCCCCCACACUGGUACUGAGACACGGACCAGACUCCUACGGGAGGCAGCAGUAAGGAAUAUUGCGCAAUGGAGGCAACUCUGACGCAGCCAUGCCGCGUGAAGGAAGAAGGCCUUAUGGGUCGUAAACUUCUUUUAUUUAGGAAUAAUCCCCCCAACGUGUUGGGGGUUGAAGGUACUAAACGAAUAAGCACCGGCUAACUCCGUGCCAGCAGCCGCGGUAAUACGGAGGGUGCAAGCGUUAUCCGGAUUUAUUGGGUUUAAAGGGUGCGCAGGCUGGCUUGUCAGUCAGUGGUGAAAUCCCGGGGGCUCACCCCGGAACUGCCAUUGAUACUGCAAGUCUUGAAUACGGUUGAAGUAGCGGGAAUGUAGCAUGUAGCGGUGAAAUGCAUAGAGAUGCUACAGAACACCGAUCGCGAAGGCAGCUUAUUAAACCGAUAUUGACGCUCAGGCACGAAAGCGUGGGAGCGAACAGGAUUAGAUACCCUGGUAGUUCACGCCGUAAACUAUGAUCACUCGUUGUUGGCAAUACACAGUCAGUGACCAAGCGAAAGCGAUAAGUGAUCCACCUGGGGAGUACGAUCGCAAGGUUGAAACUCAAAGGAAUUGACGGGGGCCCGCACAAGCGGUGGAGCAUGUGGUUUAAUUCGAUGAUACGCGAGGAACCUUACCUGGGCUCAAAUGCAUAAUGACAAACCCUGAAAGGGGUCUUUCUUCGGACAUUUUGCAAGGUGCUGCAUGGUUGUCGUCAGCUCGUGCCGUGAGGUGUCGGGUUAAGUCCCAUAACGAGCGCAACCCCUACUCUUAGUUGCCAGCAUGUAAUGAUGGGGACUCUAGGAGAACUGCCUACGCAAGUAGAGAGGAAGGUGGGGAUGACGUCAAAUCAGCACGGCCCUUACGUCCAGGGCUACACACGUGCUACAAUGGCCGGUACAGAGGGCAGCCACCUGGUGACAGGGAGCGAAUCUCUAAAGCCGGUCUCAGUUCGGAUCGAAGUCUGCAACCCGACUUCGUGAAGCUGGAAUCGCUAGUAAUCGCGCAUCAGCCAUGGCGCGGUGAAUACGUUCCCGGGCCUUGUACACACCGCCCGUCAAGCCAUGGAAGCUGGGGGUACCUGAAGUCGGUGACCGUUAAGGAGCUGCCUAGGGUAAAACUAGUAACUAGGGCUAAGUCGUAACAAGGUAACCA
This 1521-nucleotide ribosomal RNA is filed under the name uncultured bacterium. Its description in RNAcentral is "partial 16S ribosomal RNA". It matches the Rfam family "Bacterial small subunit ribosomal RNA". The record is from RNAcentral.